ACUGAAAGUAGAAGUCACUCCUCCCCUCCUCAGAAGAAAACUUGUUACUUUCCGUAAGUGUCUACUGGUGAAGGCAUCCCUCCCUGGUGGUUCUUUAAGCCACAAAACAUUGUCCAAGCUUGUGUGACAUCAGCCCUGUCAAGUGUCCAUGAUGCUGGGCCCUGAGGGAGGUGAAGGUUAUGUGAUCAAACUCCGUGGCCUACCGUGGUUUUGCUCAAUUGAGGACGUACAAAACUUCCUCUCCCACUGCACAAUUCAUGGUGGGGUCACAGGUGUUCAUUUCAUUUACACUAGAGAAGGCGCAGAGUGGUGAGGCUUUUGCUGAACCUGAGACAGAUUAUUAAAACUGGCUCUGAAAAAAGACACGGGGAGCAUGGGACACCGAAAUAUUGAGGUGUUCAAGUCACACAGAAUGGAGAUGGAUUGGGUGUUGAAGCACAGUGGUCCAAACAGCGCUGACAUUGCCAAUGAUGGCUUUGUGAGGCUUCAGGGACUCCUGUUUGGAUGUACAAAGGAAGAAAUUGUUCAGUUCGUCUCAGGGUUGGAAAUUGUGCCAAAUGGGAUCACAUUACCUGUGGACCCAGAGGCAAGAUUACAGGGGAGGCCUUCGUGCAGUUUGCCUCACAGGAGUUAGCUGAGAAAGCUCUGGGGAAGCAUAAGAAGAGAAUAGGGCACAGGUAUAUUGAAGUGUUCAAGAGCAGUCAGGAGGAAGUAAGGUCAUACUCAGAUCCACCUCUGAAGUUCAUGUCUGUGCAGAGGACUGGGCCUUAUGACUGGCCUGGCACAGCCUGGAGGUACAUUGGCAUUGUGAAGCAGGCAGGCCUGGAUAGGAUGAGGUCUAGGUGCCUAUAGUGCAGGCUAUGGGGGCUACGAAGAAUACAGUGGUCUCAGCAAUGGCUAUGGCUUCACCACUGACCUUUUUUGGGAGAGACCUCAGCUACUGUCUCUCAGGAAUAUAUGACCACAGAUAUGGAGACAGCGAGUUCAUAGCCCAGAGCACCACUGGCCACUGUGUCCACAUGAGGGGGCUGCCCUACAAAGCAACAGAGAACGACAUUUACUUCUCUCCACUCAACUCUGUAAGAGUUCAUAUUGAGAUUGGCCUGAUGGAAGAGUGAUGGGGAAAGCUGAUGUUGAGUUUACCACCCAUGAAGAAGCGGUGGCAGCUAUGUCGAAGGACAGGGCCAACAUGCAACAUAGAUACAUAGAACUUUUCCUGAACUCAACAACCGGGGCCAGCAAUGGGGUUUAUAGCAGUUAGGUGAUGCAGGGCACGGGCGUUGCAGUGGCUCAGGCCACCUAUAGUGGCUUGGAGAGCCAGUCAGUGAGUGGCUGUUAUUGGGCUGGCUACAGCCGUCAGAACAAUAUGGGCAGAUAUGAUUAG
RNA transcript from Nannospalax galili (Upper Galilee mountains blind mole rat), 1384 nucleotides. It is a transcript of the gene named heterogeneous nuclear ribonucleoprotein F-like, with no coding region annotated. Lineage: Eukaryota; Metazoa; Chordata; Mammalia; Rodentia; Spalacidae. The record is from RefSeq and is a predicted model, not a curated record. The transcript has a single exon.